UUACUCAUACACAAGGAGAGUGUCAGAAAGACAGUACAGAACAAAAGAGAAGUGGACCAGUUACUUGUACACAAGAAGAGUGUCAGAAAGAUAGUACAGUAUAAAAGAGAAGUGCACCUGUUAUUUGUACACAAAGAGAGAUUCAGAAAGAUUGUACUCUACAAAAGAGAAAUGCACCUGCUACUCGUACACAAGGAGAGGGCAAGAAAGAUAGUACAGUAGAAAAGAGAAGUACACCAGGUAAUU
Amphimedon queenslandica is the source of this 246-nucleotide long non-coding RNA. RefSeq lists it as uncharacterized. The record is from RefSeq and is a predicted model, not a curated record. The transcript is spliced from 4 exons. Lineage: Eukaryota; Metazoa; Porifera; Demospongiae; Haplosclerida; Niphatidae.